RNAcentral lists this long non-coding RNA (205 nucleotides) under Oreochromis niloticus (Nile tilapia). Its description in RNAcentral is "lncRNA (ENSONIG00000031162.1)". Lineage: Eukaryota; Metazoa; Chordata; Actinopteri; Cichliformes; Cichlidae. The record is from RNAcentral.
GCUCGGGACCAGCACUCCUGUUGUUGGACAGAAAGACAUCAACUCAGUGACUUGAGAUGUGACUGCACUAUGCUGUUGCUGGUGACCACAGUUAAUUCUACAAGACAUGCUGUGACACCAGGAGAGAUGAGUCCUCCGUCACAGAUGGUGUGGUCAGUGAAGAUGGUCGCCUGCAGGUUCAAGCUCAUUGCAUCUCCAACCCACA